Molecule: unclassified non-coding RNA, 343 nt
Filed under: soil metagenome
Description: partial contains 5.8S ribosomal RNA, internal transcribed spacer 2, and large subunit ribosomal RNA
Rfam family: 5.8S ribosomal RNA (bases 1-120)
Source: RNAcentral
GAUGAAGAUCGUAGCGAAAUGCGAUAAGUAAUGUGAAUUGCAGAAUUCAGUGAAUCAUCGAAUCUUUGAACGCACAUUGCGCCCGCCAGCAUUCUGGCGGGCAUGCCUGUUCGAGCGUCAUUUCAACCCUCGAGCCCCCCCGGGGGCCUCGGUGUUGGGGGACGGCACACCAGCCGCCCCCGAAAUGCAGUGGCGACCCCGCCGCAGCCUCCCCUGCGUAGUAGCACACACCUCGCACCGGAGCGCGGAGGCGGUCACGCCGUAAAACGCCCAACUUUCUUAGAGUUGACCUCGGAUCAGGUAGGAAUACCCGCUGAACUUAAGCAUAUCAAUAAGCGGAGGA